UUCCGGUUGAUCCUGCCGGACCUGACUGCUAUCGGAUUGAUACUAAGCCAUGCGAGUCUUUGUAGUAAUACAAGGCAGACGGCUCAGUAACACGUAGUCAACCUACCCUAUGGACAAGAAUAAUCUCGGGAAACUGAGCAUAAUUCUUGAUAGAUCAUAAUGCCUGGAAUGGUUUAUGGUUAAAAUGAUUCGUCGCCAUAGGAUGGGACUGCGGCCUAUCAGCUUGUUGGUGAGGUAAUGGCCCACCAAGGCGAUUACAGGUACGGGCUCUGAGAGGAGAAGCCCGGAGAUGGGUACUGAGACACGGACCCAGGCCCUAUGGGGCGCAGCAGGCGAGAAAACUUUGCAAUGUGCGAAAGCACGACAAGGUUAAUCCGAGUGAUUUCUGCUAAAGAAAUCUUUUACCAGUCGUAAAACCGCUGGUGAAUAAGGGGUGGGCAAGUUCUGGUGUCAGCCGCCGCGGUAAAACCAGCACCUCAAGUGGUCAGGAUGAUUAUUGGGCCUAAAGCAUCCGUAGCCGGCUUUGUAAGUUUUCGGUUAAAUCCAUGUGCUCAACGCAUGGGCUGCCGAAAAUACUGCAUAGCUAGGGAGUGGAAGAGGUAGACGGUACUCAGUAGGUAGGGGUAAAAUCCUUUGAUCUAUUGAUGACCACCUGUGGCGAAGGCGGUCUACCAGAACACGUUCGACGGUGAGGGAUGAAAGCUGGGGGAGCAAACCGGAUUAGAUACCCGGGUAGUCCCAGCUGUAAACGAUGCAGACUCGAUGAUGCAUUGGCAUAAUAGCCAUUGCAGUGUCGCAGGGAAGCCGUUAAGUCUGCCGCCUGGGAAGUACGUACGCAAGUAUGAAACUUAAAGGAAUUGGCGGGGGAGCACCACAAGGGGUGAAGCCUGCGGUUCAAUUGGAUUCAACGCCGG
Molecule: ribosomal RNA, 914 nt
Filed under: uncultured marine archaeon
Lineage: Archaea
Description: bacterial SSU rRNA
Rfam family: Archaeal small subunit ribosomal RNA
Source: RNAcentral